CGCAGUUUUGCACCAUUGAGCCAUUUCAACCAGAAUUAAAUUUUGCUUAUUUACAAAAAAAAUCCUACGGAACGAAACAAGGUAAAUCUCUACCUUUCGUUGAUAGCAUUUUAUAAGGACCAAGCGGAUACGAAAUCAAGAAUUUGUACAACGAUUACCAAGCUACCAAGCAUGUACGGCCAUCUUGGAGAAGGAAUCAGCUCGAGCUGUCAGGCGAUCACCGAUAUCCGAUACUGCAGGUUAGCGGACACGGAUGUUUAUCCAACGGCUUUCCGCCAGUAGGCAUACUAAUCAAUGUGAAAAGAUUGGUCGAGAUUCCUGGUUAUAAAUACGGAGGCGUUUAAAGGCAUAGUGGGCGCAGGUGGCUAAAGGUCAAGAAUCGGAUUCGGGAUUAGCUAGGCGGUAAACCAACAAAAAUCUCAGUCUUGUCCUAAAAGACGCUAAAAACGCCCGCAAAAACUUCAACUACGCGAGUACAUCAGAUACAGGGCGGACGAUGCGUGGUGACUAUGUUGUGGUCUGACCGCUUCAAUUUUAUAUAAUUACCAUUUCGCUCAUUCGGGAUGGGCGCCAGAGCCUCUUCACGGCUAGCACUGGUGCUUGUAUGGACGUAAUGCCGUGCUGUGAGCCAGGAGUCCUGCCCAAUGCAUCGAACAUCACAACCGCUGCUGAUGCUGACUAUUAGCUCGACAAGGCUGGCAAUCUAGUCAGCCGCAGAAUCCACGAGUACUGGCGAAUGAUAUUCGCCGGUUUUCGUGGUGAUCAAGGUGAUCAAGGGUGAUGAAGCCUACUUUUGACGUUUACUGGUGUCCAGGCUGACGUUCGAUAAAGCUUUUAACGAUUCUUCUACUCACAUUGUUAGCUAAAGUGCUCAGUGUGUUUGCCACUCACGCAUAUAUGUACCGAUACGUAAGAAGCUCAUGCUUCAUGCUACCUGUCGAUUGUUUUUUCUGUUUU
Molecule: long non-coding RNA, 957 nt
Filed under: Varroa destructor (honeybee mite)
Lineage: Eukaryota; Metazoa; Arthropoda; Arachnida; Mesostigmata; Varroidae
Description: uncharacterized LOC111246485, transcript variant X2
Source: RNAcentral